AAGUGACGAUGGCGGCGGCCUAAACAUGCAGUCGAGGGGUAACAGGAAAAGCUUGCUUUUCGCUGACGACCGGCGCACGGGUGCGUAACGCGUAUGCAACCUGCCUCCAACAGAGGGAUAGCCCCGGGAAACCGGGAUUAAUACCUCAUAGUAUUCUCAUUUUGCAUGAUUUGAGAAUUAAAGCUCCGGCGGUUGGAGAUGGGCAUGCGUGACAUUAGCUAGAUGGUGAGGUAACGGCUCACCAUGGCUACGAUGUCUAGGGGGUCUGAGAGGAUGAUCCCCCACACUGGUACUGAGACACGGACCAGACUCCUACGGGAGGCAGCAGUGAGGAAUAUUGGGCAAUGGACGCAAGUCUGACCCAGCCAUGCCGCGUGAAGGAUGAAGGCUCUAGUGGUUGUAAACUUCUUUUAUAUACCAAGAAACCCCCCGACGUGUCGGGGGCUGACGGUAGUAUAUGAAUAAGCACCGGCUAACUCCGUGCCAGCAGCCGCGGUAAUACGGAGGGUGCAAGCGUUAUCCGGAUUCAUUGGGUUUAAAGGGUGCGUAGGCGGAAUGAUAAGUCAGUGGUGAAAUCCCAUAGCUCAACUGUGGAACUGCCAUUGAUACUGUCGUUCUUGAGUCUGGCUGAGGUUGGCGGAAUGUGGCAUGUAGCGGUGAAAUGCUUAGAUAUGCCACAGAACACCGAUUGCGAAGGCAGCUAACCAAACCAGUACUGACGCUGAGGCACGAAAGCGUGGGGAGCGAACAGGAUUAGAUACCCUGGUAGUCCACGCCGUAACGAUGAUCACUCGUUGUUGGCGGUAUACUGUCGGUGACUAAGCAAAAGCGUUAAGUGAUCCACCUGGGGAGUACGUUCGCAAGGUUG
RNAcentral lists this ribosomal RNA (868 nucleotides) under uncultured bacterium. RNAcentral's name for it is "bacterial SSU rRNA". It matches the Rfam family "Bacterial small subunit ribosomal RNA", at positions 28 to 896 of the family's 1533-position model. The record is from RNAcentral.